Long non-coding RNA from Parasteatoda tepidariorum (common house spider), 371 nucleotides. RefSeq lists it as uncharacterized. NCBI's taxonomy places the organism in Eukaryota, Metazoa, Arthropoda, Arachnida, Araneae, Theridiidae. The record is from RefSeq and is a predicted model, not a curated record.
CGCAGCUUGUGUAAAUAAUCUAUUUUUUUAAACGCUUUUUUUCCCCUCAUAAAUUUCAAUAUAAAUACUGAAUCUUCAAAAGUGAAAGCUAUAGGUUCAUCCAAUAACAGCAAUUUCAAGAUGUCUUCUUUACUUUACUUGCUUGUCCUCGUCAUUUUGGCCCUUUUUGCUACUCUAGCAUUGGCCGAGCCAGGUUUGGGAGUAUUGGGAGGUUUAAAAGAAGGAGCCGAUGAGAUUCUCAGCACUGCAGGAGCUCACAAUCAGUGAAAGCUCACGGAAAAGCCCCAACACUGGCGGAAUUUUCUUGGAAUAAAAAAAAAAUAUUAAAAAAUUUUAAAAAAAAACGUGAUUAUGUGAUUAUAUUAUGCAAG